GACGAACGCUGGCGGCGUGCCUAAUACAUGCAAGUAGAACGCUGAAGAGAGGAGCUUCCUCUUCUUGGAUGAGUUGCGAACGGGUGAGUAACGCGUAGGUAACCUGCCUUGUAGCGGGGGAUAACUAUUGGAAACGAUAGCUAAUACCGCAUAACAAUGGAUGACACAUGUCAUUUAUUUGAAAGGGGCAAUUGCUCCACUACAAGAUGGACCUGCGUUGUAUUAGCUAGUAGGUGAGGUAAUGGCUCACCUAGGCGACGAUACAUAGCCGACCUGAGAGGGUGAUCGGCCACACUGGGACUGAGACACGGCCCAGACUCCUACGGGAGGCAGCAGUAGGGAAGCUUCGGCAAUGGGGGCAACCCUGACCGAGCAACGCCGCGUGAGUGAAGAAGGUUUUCGGAUCGUAAAGCUCUGUUGUAAGUCAAGAACGGGUGUGAGAGUGGAAAGUUCACACUGUGACGGUAGCUUACCAGAAAGGGACGGCUAACUACGUG
Molecule: ribosomal RNA, 497 nt
Filed under: uncultured bacterium
Lineage: Bacteria
Description: partial 16S ribosomal RNA
Rfam family: Bacterial small subunit ribosomal RNA
Source: RNAcentral